RNAcentral lists this ribosomal RNA (431 nucleotides) under uncultured Alphaproteobacteria bacterium. Its description in RNAcentral is "bacterial SSU rRNA". It matches the Rfam family "Bacterial small subunit ribosomal RNA", at positions 29 to 505 of the family's 1533-position model. Lineage: Bacteria; Pseudomonadati; Pseudomonadota; Alphaproteobacteria. The record is from RNAcentral.
AACGAACGCUGGCGGCACGCUUAACACAUGCAAGUCGAACGAACUCUUCGGAGUGAGUGGCAGACGGGUGCGUAACACGUGGGAACCUACCUAGUAGUACGGAAUAACGUCGAGAAAUUGAUGCUAAUACCGUAUACGCCCUUCGGGGGAAAGAUUUAUCGCUAUUAGAUGGGCCCGCGGCUGAUUAGUUUGUUGGUGGGGUAAAAGCCUACCAAGACUACGAUCAGUAGCUGGUCUGAGAGGAUGAUCAGCCACACUGGAACUGAGACACGGUCCAGACUCCUACGGGAGGCAGCAGUGGGGAAUAUUGGACAAUGGGCGAAAGCCUGAUCCAGCGAUGCCGCGUGAAUGAUGAAGGCCUUAGGGUUGUAAAAUUCUUUCGAUGGUGAAGAUAAUGACGGUAACCAUUAAAGAAGCCCCGGCUAAUUUCG